GUGGGAGUGGAGGAGGAAGAGGCGGUAGGGGUACGGGGGCUGGUCCCAGAAGAUGGCGGAGGCGGGGCUGUGAUUGGGUUAUUAUACCCCUGCAUUGACAGACAUCUAGGAGAACCACAUAAAUUUAAAAGAGAGUGGUCCAGUGUAAUGCGGUGUGUAGCAGUCUUUGUUGGUAUAAAUCAUGCCAGUGCUAAAGUGGAUUUUGAUAACAACAUACAGUUGUCUCUCACACUGGCUGCACUAUCCAUUGGACUGUGGUGGACUUUUGAUAGAUCUAGAAGUGGUUUUGGCCUUGGAGUAGGAAUCGCCUUCUUGGCAACCGUGGUCACUCAAUUGCUAGUGUAUAAUGGUGUUUAUCAUACGAAUGUAAAGUUAUCGCAGAAAAAUCUCAUCAGGAAUGAAGAAGGCAAAAAAUAUCUUUUGUACAGAAAAACAAGAUGAAAAGGAUGUGAAAUGGUAGAUAUACCAACAAAACUUCAGACUGUAAAAUUGCCAGGAUGCAGUUUUUCCCUUGAUUGGCGUGUGUGUAUAUAUGGAUAAAUAUAUAUACACACACAUAUUACUGCAAUCUGUGAUUGCUUCAUCUGUAAAUCAGUUGCAAACCUUUACAUAUUUGACUUAAAUAACUGUAAGAUAUAUAUGUAUUACAUUAAAAAGUGUUGAUUAAUAGAUAAAAUUUUUAAAUUAAUUUUUUAAACAUGCCAUACAUUGUAUCACAAUGUUAAUGUGCCAAAAUAUUGUUCCUGUCGUGCAGAGUAUAAGAAUGCUUUGAACAAUUUGUAAACUUAGUGAAAUAAAAUAAGAGGAAAGCCAAAAACAAACAAACAAAAAGCAUAUGAGGAGCUGGUAUUUUCUCUUUAGCUUACUGUUGUGCCUUUUUAUUUUUCUAAUCACAGCAGUAUGAGUUAUGAGUGCCCUAAUUUGUGGUUAAUUUCUAAUUUAAUGUUGUUUCAUAGAGUUUGGAGUGUUUUGAUACAGGGUGAAAAUGAACUUCUGGUUUCAAACCUGCAUUACUGGAGACAGCCCAAAGAGUAAUUUUCUGUUUUGACAGAUUUUACUGGAAGUAUAUGUGAUGAGCAGAAGAGGUUAUCAGCAUUAAAUUAUUUUUGUUCUAGAUUUGGAACAGUAUAUAUAAUUAAAAGUAAGGACCAUCAGAGGAUUUAAUUAGAAUAAAUACAUGUUUUGGAAAUACAGUGACCUCUUGCAGUGCCACAAAAGUGCAAAGUGAUAUUAGCUGUCAUCUGCAAUACAGAAUCUCAUUGCUUUUGCACAUGGAGCAUAUAGGAAACUCCAAACAGAUCACAAUGAGAUUUCUAAUUCUGUUGGGUUCUGUCAUCUAUUGGGUUCUAUGAAGCAAACCACUGUAGCUUUAGCUGGGUUCAGUCAUAUGACUCAUUGUUAGUGGAAUGCCUAGUUUUUCAUCUUCAUGCAGUCUGGGGAGUGGAUGAAUACAUAAUUUCUUACGUAUUCAUGUAUCCAUUAGUGAAUAGUUCAAGUCUGUUUAAGAAUGUAUUGAGAUGGCAUUCUCUGCAUGUUAAAGAUCUUAGUGGCAACCAGCACCUCUUAAGUAUGGUUUAAACAUAUUCUUAGCUAAUUUUUUCCAUUAGUUUUUGAAAUUGAUGGCAGUUGUCUGAUCCACAAGGGCAAGAUCUUCUGAGUACUCUGGGGUGUGUGUAUGUGUGCACGCAUGUGUGUGUUGGAGUGAGUGAGAGAAUGUGUCUGUGCAUGUGGCCAUGCUUUCCUAGAAUGUCAAGUAGAUAUUUUUACACUUUGAGUUUUAAAACAAUUACUAUCAGACUGAGAUCUUGUAUGCCAAACUUUAAUCUGCUUUGAUGUUUUCAGGCUGAAGGUGUGAAAAUCCUAAGAGGAUUUCAUAUUGAAUAUGUGUACACAAUCUUAACUGUCGUGGUGGAAAACAUACUACUAUAAUUUAUUAUUAUAUCUUCCAGAUAAUGUUAUUCAUUUAGAACAAAUAAGGUAUAUUUUUUAGAAUCCACUUUGUAAGCACUAUAAAAUCUUUAAUAAGUUAUAAGGUCUAUGAUGUGUUUACUUUAAAAAUUGCUGUUAAAAGCAACAUGUAUUAAAUAUGUAAUUA
RNAcentral lists this small RNA (2095 nucleotides) under Pongo abelii (Sumatran orangutan). RNAcentral describes it as "processed transcript". The record is from RNAcentral. Lineage: Eukaryota; Metazoa; Chordata; Mammalia; Primates; Hominidae.